This is a long non-coding RNA of Tympanuchus pallidicinctus (lesser prairie-chicken), 2842 nucleotides long. RefSeq lists it as uncharacterized. NCBI's taxonomy places the organism in Eukaryota, Metazoa, Chordata, Aves, Galliformes, Phasianidae. The transcript has 3 exons. The record is from RefSeq and is a predicted model, not a curated record.
UGCACGGCGGCUCCUUUCAGAAUAAGAGCUGGGUGGGAGGGAGUGAGGCGAGGCGGAGGCCAUCCAGCCACCCCACACUGUGGCGAGUUGCCCGAGUUGCUCGUAGGCGGCCACAGGCGCUUGCCGCUGCUGAGCCUGGACAGGCCCCUCGCUGGUCUAUGCGGUUCUCUUCUGCUUCCCCGCACUGUGGCAGCGCAGUCCCUCGGCUACCUCUGGAAAGCAGAAUUUGGAGCCCUGAGUCAGCAAGGACAACUGAGGCUGCCUCUUCUGAAAACACCAGUGCAAGCUCCCAUCAUAUUUUUUUCAGGAUCCUGAAAGCUUCAAGCUGUAGCACAGAAAUGAUUCUUCGAUGUCAAAGAUUUCUGUGUGAAAUCCAAGGGUUGGGGCAAGGUAGGAAGCCCCUUGUAGUUCAUGUUCACUGCACUCCUGGGAAAGCCCAGAGAAGGCAGCUCUGUCUUUCCUCCAGGUGUAAGAAACCACUGUCUGUAGCCCCUGCACACCACCUGUCUUUACUAUCCUCCUUUUACUGUCAUAGCUCCCCUGGUUCACAGCUCCCCUUUACAGUCAAAGACCAAGGGAUAGAACCUAGGGACAUGAGGUCCCCUGAAAGGAUGGACAAAGACUUUAGUGAGGGCACCGGAUGGGAUGUGCAAAAGGCCCUUGUGGUUUAUUUCUGAAGAAAACUUGUGUCUGCCCCCGAACUAAAGAUUGAAGAGCACUGUACUCAGGAAUGUGUAGCUACUGACAGUCAAAGAGCCAAGAUUUUGAAAACAGGCUCAUUUCAAGCUGAUUAAAUGCAUUUUUUUUCCCUCCAGCAGCUCAUCUAAAAAGUAUUUUCCAAAGAGCUUCUUCUCAGAGAAACGAAAACAUGACUGUGAUAAAAAAGGACCACUUAAAUACAUGCAAGUAUGCAGUAUGCAAGGCGUGAGGUAGCUGCAGCUGUAUCUGUAAGUGUUGACAUCUGGCUCUUCAAGAUUGUCUCAGGACAUUACAGGCUGCAACAUCCUGUCAGUAUCCACAGUGCAAGGGUGCUACUGACUGGGAUGUAUCCAAACACAUUGGACAAUCAUAACCAAAUCAUCCAAGAUAUAUCAGUUGUCUGUUCCAUGUAGACUUCUAUGAACUGUUAUUCCAUUUAUCAUCAGUAGCCCCUACAUUACCUCUGUUGUAUUGUGAGGUUGUAAGAUCCAGGGCUUCAACUGACAGCAGCUGAGGAGCUGAUUGAAUUGUUGCCCUCAUCCCACAGUCUGAACAAGGAGCCUUUUUGAGAGUUGAUUCUGAUCCCCAACACUGAGCUUGCUUCAUCAUGUCCAGACUGGUAUCCUCCAGACUGUGUGAUCACCUUAUUUCAGGCUCCACACCAGAAGCUGGUGCACUUUCUUAACUUUGCCUUUCUGACCUGUGUUCUGGUUUGGCAGUAGACAGCUAUUGCCUUCAAGUGGUUAACCGUGACAGACUCUACACUGGCAUGCCAGCCAUCCACAUAAUAGCCAAAGAAUUCCCUGAGGUGAUACGGUUUGCUUCUGAUUGCUUGACAUCCAUUCUAUACAGAUGGCAAUAUCUUGAACUAGGGAAGCAUCCAGUUGUGCCAAAACACCAAUAGGAGUCAGACCUGCUUGGUGUGAUCCACAGCCAUAGUAAUCAUAAGGGAUAGUAUUCCAGACUAUUACAGUAUUUCAGAUACUAUCUACUAUUACUAACAAUUUGUCAGUUGCUGCUCACCAUUUCAUACUGCAGGCAAGAACCGUUCCUAGAGUCGUGAACCUCUUUUUAUGUAGGUCACCUUCUCCACAUAAACCAGAGCUGUAGGAGUGGCAUGAUUUGUCUGAAAAAAUGAUAAGCCAUUUAAUAGUGCCUGUUAGAAGUUGUGUGAAGCCCAAGCCCUUAGACUAGUGGCAGUGUUAUUUAUUGCCCAAAAGGCAAUAAAUGAUCAAGUAGAGAUAUCUGAGUGUUGCUUAGUCAAAAAGAGUGUUUGAAGGUAAGGUGCCCAGGGAAAACAGCUCGGCGUUAAAGUGCCACCAAUUGAUUUUUAAACAACUCUAGUUUUAGCAGCUAUUUGGGGUUUAUUAAUACUUGCAAGAUAAAUCACAAGGUUAGAUUGUAUGAUUCUAAGUAAUAGUUAAUAAGCACUUAACCAUUAGCCAAUUUGACACAAUCAAAUGCAUUGGCUUACUUAAAGGUUUGAGAAUGGCAAGGUUCAUUUGAAACUUACAGAUAGGGUAUUGGAGAGGAGAUUUCUAAACUCAUUUGCAUGCUUAGGGACCUUCUCUCCUUCAGUGAAAUACUCAUCUUUCCCUUUUGUUGGCUCUCAGCAGAUGAUCUGUCCCAAAAAGGGCUCCACUUCCUUGAGAUCUAUCAGCACCAGCACUACAGGUGAACCUGAAUCUGUGGCCCUGGCAGGAUGAUUAUACUGUAAGAGAGGUGGAGUUGCUACACGAGGCCUAACAGAGGAGUUCCUCUGUCUUUCUUGCUUCAGGUUUGACAAUGAAGUAUCCAGAUCAAUUUGUUUUCCAUGUGUGAGAGGGUCUGCACAUCAGAGAAUAUUUCAUGCAUGCUUCUAGGCUGCUGACCAACCUUCUUUCCAAUGACCUCCGGAAACACACUGUAUUCAAAGCAGCAGAGAAAUUACACAGAACAUCUGAAGGGGGGCACCAACCAGCAGGAGCACUGGAGCAGAACAGAGGGAAAUCAAGUAUAUAAAUAAGUGGUCGGAGGCGUUCUUCAGCACAUCAGCAUGAUGAGAGAAAUGAAAGUCUGCUUUUGCCCGGCUGGGAUUUAAGAGCCCCACAGAAGCCUCGCUGGCCCCAAGACCGGUGUCCUCGCGGAGCUGCAGCAGCUGGGC